Long non-coding RNA from Anopheles gambiae (African malaria mosquito), 1680 nucleotides. RefSeq lists it as uncharacterized. Lineage: Eukaryota; Metazoa; Arthropoda; Insecta; Diptera; Culicidae. The transcript is spliced from 3 exons. The record is from RefSeq and is a predicted model, not a curated record.
AACCAGCAAAACCGAAGCUAUUGGAAAACUUUCCUGUGUGCCAAAACGAGAGAGCAUGUCUUCUUUCUCUAGAUUUUGGACGGCACAACGCCGAUCGUGUGGCCUAUGAACGAAAAACGGGAGAAGGGGAAACCGAUAUCCUUCGAGUGACACACACGCAUGCAUCUGCAUGCGUAUUCCGCUGAACCGAAAUUACCCAUCUCUCUCGAUCUCCCAUGAUUUUUCUGCUAUCACACUCAUCCGGGUGUUAAGCAUCCUCAGUCUGUCCAGAACUUUCACUGUGGAAGGAUGUGUUGGAGUGAUGUGUGAUUUCUUGUGCCCCGUACUUUGCUCGUUUACGUUUUGUGCCGUGUUCCUUCUUCUUCAAUUAUGGAAUGAUUUAUCCUUGUAAAUUUCCAAGUUACAGUGCACGCGCAUGUUAAUCGACGGUUGCCAACAUCCCGCAAAACGAUCGACGGAAGGAAAACGGUGUCCGGGUUUAAAAUAUAAAGAUUUCAUUACAUCUCUUUCGUAGAAGAGCGUACUUCAAGGACGCCUAGGAUACGGCUAAACAUGCGCAGCACCAGUCCGUGACGUCAUUUCCAGACAGGCGCCGGCUGAACACGCGUAGCACCAGUCGAGGAUAUCCUAGCGCAGAGGGUAGAAGGAAGAACGAGAGGAAGGGUAAUAGAAAGCAACCGCAGCAUUUGGAAGGGGUGAAGCAUCCUGCCGUAUACAGAGUGUGAGUGUGCCAAAACGCAUGUGGAAAGAGUAACACCAAUAAACAGCAUGCGAAAGUGUGCAUAAAGCAAAAAGAAAAAGCGUCACUACUACAACCAGCAAUCCGAAAAUAUAAGGGGAGGGAUAAAUACAAAUGUAUGCGUAAGCAGGACCAGCAAUCCAAGCAUUUGAAUGUGUGCGUCGGUUUGUGCCGUGCUGAAAGUUUUUACUUUAGCUGCUGCUAGUGUAAAAACUUAAGGAAAGCUUAAAGUAAAAAUUUUUUACACGGGUCACCUUCGGAAAUUGUUGGCUGGGAUACGGCAGGUAAGCAGUACAACUUCAGCUACCUGAUACGCAUACAUGUUUAUCGAAUACAAUUAUUCGAUUCGGCGCGGAAAAUUUUGGUAGAACGCCGGAACAAAAGGGCGCAGACUUUUUCAUGAGUUUGUAUGGCUUCGGCUGUUUUGGACUUCACGUCUGGGCGCUCGCUUUCGGUUCCCGUUAACCGUGUAUCUCGAGAACCGCCUGUAACUCUGCUAUUAGGGUUGCAGUAACAUCAAUUUUUAAUAUUUAUUGUUAUGAUAUCAAAUAGAUGUAUUAUUACAAGUAGUUUAGACUAAAAUAAUCUCAGAUGUGGCAUACUACGAUACGAUCAAAACCACUUUUGGAAUAAUAAUAGUACCAAUACUGCAGGAAAUACAGGAAACCGUAGAGAUGUAUGUUUAAGCCCAGAUCUGAAAUAAAAGAAUCAAUGUUAGAUGGAUUCUUAACAUUGAAAGUUUAUAUUUUACCCUUAGCGUAUAGUCCCAACUUCCGGUGGAUAGUGCUGUACCAUCCGGAGAUACUUGAAGACAAGAUACUUUGUUUUCAUGGCCGUAUAGAAGACAUACGCGUUGUGCCUUAAGGGUAUCCCACACGUUUACUGUAUAAUCAUUAUAACCGGCGAAUAGCAGACGUCCACUCACGGAAAAAUCAACACAA